Molecule: long non-coding RNA, 872 nt
Organism: Triticum aestivum (bread wheat)
Lineage: Eukaryota; Viridiplantae; Streptophyta; Magnoliopsida; Poales; Poaceae
Exons: 3
Source: RefSeq, a predicted model, not a curated record
UGGAGAUGUCGAUCGGUAAGAUUUAUCCAGCUACUGUUCACCGGUGGUGCAGGUGGCAUGUUCUGAAGAAAGCGAAGGAAACCCUGGGACUGCUAUACACGAAGAAGAGCGACUUCCAGGCUGAAUUUCAAAAGGUUGUGAACCACAUGCUAACUCAAGAUGAGUUUGAGGCGGCUUGGGGCUUGUUGUUGGAUAAAUGUAAUCUGAGGAAGCACACGUACAUGACCCAAAUAUAUGAAACCAGGAAAAAGUGGGCACAACCGUACUUCAAGGGUGUGUUUUGCGCAAAAAUAACGAGCACCCAACGCACUGAGAGUGCAAACCAUGUGUUGAAGAGAUGUACAUGCCUCUUGCUAGCCCAAUGCAUGUUUUCGUAGGCAGUACAUGAGGUUGCAAUUUGACCGCGAGGGUGAGGAAAGCUACGAGGAAAAGAGGACAAUGAUUGGCGGAGCCGUAAGGAGAACCAACCUUUGCAAUAGAGUGGCACACAAGCAAAAUCUACACUAGGAAUAUGUUUGAGGAAUUUGGCCGCCUCCUAAUUGAAGGGAUGGCAUACAAUGUCACUGAAGUGGAGAGGUUCAGGAAAUAUAUAACAGCUCACAACAAUGCAACAAAAAGAGAAAAAUGGAGCAGGGUUGAGUACGAGGUGACCAUAAACGAGACCAAUCAGUAUUCACUUGCGAGUGUGGCCAGUUUGAGCACACUGGGAUGUUGUGCAGCCAUGUCUUGAGGCUCAUGGAUAUACUUCAUCUAGAGGAAAUCUCUAAGCACCAUAUUGUCGAGCGGUGGACAAAAGACGCAAGAGAUAUACUUCCGAAGCACUUGGUUCGGUACCAGAAAGACAAUUCAGCAAACUUGUCAUUCACAUGUAG